This 477-nucleotide ribosomal RNA is filed under the name Neisseria sp. oral taxon 018. RNAcentral describes it as "bacterial SSU rRNA". It matches the Rfam family "Bacterial small subunit ribosomal RNA", at positions 30 to 497 of the family's 1533-position model. Lineage: Bacteria; Pseudomonadati; Pseudomonadota; Betaproteobacteria; Neisseriales; Neisseriaceae. The record is from RNAcentral.
AUUGAACGCUGGCGGCAUGCUCUACACAUGCAAGUCGGACGGCAGCGGGGAGUGCUUGCACUCUGCCGGCGAGUGGCGAACGGGUGAGUAAUGCAUCGGAACGUACCGAGUAAUGGGGGAUAACUGUCCGAAAGGACAGCUAAUACCGCAUACGCCCUGAGGGGGAAAGCGGGGGAUCUUAGGACCUCGCGUUAUUCGAGCGGCCGAUGUCUGAUUAGCUAGUUGGUGGGGUAAAGGCCUACCAAGGCGACGAUCAGUAGCGGGUCUGAGAGGACGAUCCGCCACACUGGGACUGAGACACGGCCCAGACUCCUACGGGAGGCAGCAGUGGGGAAUUUUGGACAAUGGGCGCAAGCCUGAUCCAGCCAUGCCGCGUGUCUGAAGAAGGCCUUCGGGUUGUAAAGGACUUUUGUCAGGGAAGAAAAGGCGGGUGCUAAUACCAUCUGCUGAUGACGUACCUGAAGAAUAAGCACCGCA